Long non-coding RNA from Ipomoea nil (Japanese morning glory), 163 nucleotides. RefSeq lists it as uncharacterized. The transcript has 3 exons. Lineage: Eukaryota; Viridiplantae; Streptophyta; Magnoliopsida; Solanales; Convolvulaceae. The record is from RefSeq and is a predicted model, not a curated record.
ACAAUGCUUACUCUUGUAUCCCAUCGAUCCAGGUUUAUAUUAGACACAGAGUCCAGUUGGAUAACAACUUCUAGUUAUUCAAUCCAACCAAACCACUUAAUAAGUCUAGUCAACUUGCAUCACUUAAUUAAGGCCCUAAUAUAUAAUAUAUAUUAUUAGGGAA